GACGAACGCUGGCGGCGUGCCUAACACAUGCAAGUCGAACGGAAAGGCCCUGCUUUUGUGGGGUUCCCGAGUGGCGAACGGGUGAGUAACACGUGAGUAACCUGCCCUUGAUUUUGGGAUAACUUCAGGAAACUGGGGCUAAUACCGUAUAGGAGCCCCCGCUGCAUGGUGGGGGUUGGAAAGUUUCGGCGGUUGGGGAUGGAUUCGCGGCUUAUCAGCUUGUUGGUGGGGUAGUGGCUUACCAAGGCAUUGACGGGUAGGCGGCAUGUGAGGGUGGCCAGCCACAAUAGGACUGAGGUACGGAGCAGACUGCUACGGGGGGCAGUAGGCGGGAAUAUUGCACAAUGAGCGGGAGCCUGAUGCAGCAACGCCGCGUGCGGGAUGACGGCCUUCGGGGUGUGAACCGCUUUCGCCUGUGACGAAGCGGGAGUGACGGUAAUGGGUAAAGAAGCACCGGCUAACUACGUG
Molecule: ribosomal RNA, 468 nt
Filed under: uncultured bacterium
Lineage: Bacteria
Description: partial 16S ribosomal RNA
Rfam family: Bacterial small subunit ribosomal RNA
Source: RNAcentral